Bubalus bubalis (water buffalo) is the source of this 379-nucleotide long non-coding RNA. RefSeq lists it as uncharacterized. The transcript has 3 exons. The record is from RefSeq and is a predicted model, not a curated record. NCBI's taxonomy places the organism in Eukaryota, Metazoa, Chordata, Mammalia, Artiodactyla, Bovidae.
UAUACACCAGAAAAGUAUUUGAGGCUAGGAUUGUUUGGCUGCUUCUGUGAAUGAAGCAGGGGUAUUAAAGACAGGAAGAGAAGUUUCUAUGCCUGAACAGAGACAUACAUACAUCAUACCCGUAUGGCUAAAAUCAUGGCUGCAAACAGGACGUUUAAACGAAAUCCUCAAAUGAGAGUGAGUCAAACAGCUAAUAUAUAAAAAGUCCGGUGGCGGCGACGGAGAAGAGCUAACGACCGUGUUCAAGGCGCAGGUGAUACCCAAAAUAACACAAUGAAGGCCUGUGUGUAUGCAUCUCUCUGUUUAAGAAAUCAAACAAGAGACAUCAAAGCCCCAUGUUUCUCCCCAUCCUGCCAGCCGAGCCCAUCACUCUACCCCA